AGUGAACGCUGGCGGUAGGCCUAACACAUGCAAGUCGAACGGCAGCACAGUAAGAGCUUGCUCUUACGGGUGGCGAGUGGCGGACGGGUGAGGAAUACAUCGGAAUCUACUUUUUCGUGGGGGAUAACGUAGGGAAACUUACGCUAAUACCGCAUACGACCUACGGGUGAAAGCAGGGGAUCUUCGGACCUUGCGCGAUUGAAUGAGCCGAUGUCGGAUUAGCUAGUUGGCGGGGUAAAGGCCCACCAAGGCGACGAUCCGUAGCUGGUCUGAGAGGAUGAUCAGCCACACUGGAACUGAGACACGGUCCAGACUCCUACGGGAGGCAGCAGUGGGGAAUAUUGGACAAUGGGCGCAAGCCUGAUCCGGCCAUACCGCGUGGGUGAAGAAGGCCUUCGGGUUGUAAAGCCCUUUUGUUGGGAAAGAAAAGCAGCAGGUUAAUACCCCGCCGUUCUGACGGUACCCAAAGAAUAAGCACCGGCUAACUUCGUG
RNAcentral lists this ribosomal RNA (492 nucleotides) under uncultured bacterium. RNAcentral's name for it is "partial 16S ribosomal RNA". It matches the Rfam family "Bacterial small subunit ribosomal RNA", at positions 29 to 507 of the family's 1533-position model. The record is from RNAcentral.